This 492-nucleotide ribosomal RNA is filed under the name uncultured bacterium. RNAcentral's name for it is "partial 16S ribosomal RNA". It matches the Rfam family "Bacterial small subunit ribosomal RNA", at positions 29 to 507 of the family's 1533-position model. The record is from RNAcentral.
AGUGAACGCUGGCGGUAGGCCUAACACAUGCAAGUCGAACGGCAGCACAGUAAGAGCUUGCUCUUACGGGUGGCGAGUGGCGGACGGGUGAGGAAUACAUCGGAAUCUACUUUUUCGUGGGGGAUAACGUAGGGAAACUUACGCUAAUACCGCAUACGACCUACGGGUGAAAGCAGGAGAUCUUCGGACCUUGCGCGAUUGAAUGAGACGAUGUCGGAUUAGCUAGUUGGCGGGGUAAAGGCCCACCAAGGCGACGAUGCGUAGCUGGUCUGAGAGGAUGAUCAGCCACACUGGAACUGAGACACGGUCCAGACUCCUACGGGAGGCAGCAGUGGGGAAUAUUCGACAAUGGGCGCAAGCCUGAUCCAGCCAUACCGCGUGAGUGAAGAAGGCCUUCGGGUUGUAAAGCCCUUUUGUUGGGAAAGAAAAGCAGCAGGUUAAUACCCCGCUGUUCUGACGGUACCCAAAGAAUAAGCACCGGCUAACUUCGUG